GAUGAACGCUAGCGGCAGGCCUCAUACAUGCAAGUCGGACGGGAUUGAGGCGCUUGCUUCUCAUGAGAGUGGCGCACGGGUGCGUAACACGUAUGUAACCUACCUUAGUCAGGGGGAUAGCCUCUCGAAAGAGAGAUUAACACCGCAUAACAUUAAGUUGUGGCAUCACAGUUUAAUCAAAUAUUUAUAGGACUAAGAUGGGCAUGCGGAACAUUAGCUAGUUGGUAAGGUAACGGCUUACCAAGGCAACGAUGUUUAGGGGACCUGAGUGCAUGACCCCCCAGGCUGGUACGGAAGCCCGGACCGUACUCCUACGUGAGGAAGCAGUAAGGAAUAUUGGUCAAUGGACGCAAGUCUGAACCAGCCAUGCCGCGAGCAGGAGGACGGCCGUACGGGUUGUAAACUGCUUUUGUACCGGAAUAAACCGUUUCACGUGUGAGAAGCUGAAUGUACGGUAAGAAUAAGGAUCGGCUAGCUCCGUGCCAGCCGCCGCAGUAA
Molecule: ribosomal RNA, 498 nt
Filed under: uncultured bacterium
Lineage: Bacteria
Description: partial 16S ribosomal RNA
Rfam family: Bacterial small subunit ribosomal RNA
Source: RNAcentral